Molecule: ribosomal RNA, 486 nt
Filed under: uncultured bacterium
Lineage: Bacteria
Description: partial 16S ribosomal RNA
Rfam family: Bacterial small subunit ribosomal RNA
Source: RNAcentral
GAUGAACACUAGCGGCAGGCUUAACACAUGCAAGUCGAGGGGCAGCGCGGGAUAGCAAUAUCCUGGCGGCGACCGGCGGAAGGGUGCGUAACGCGUGAGCGACAUGCCCGUUGCCCGGGGACAACCGGUGGAAACGCCGACUAAUCCCCGAUGGGAUACGAUGCUUCAUGGCAUUGUAUUGAAAGUUACGGCGGCGACGGAUUGGCUCGCGUCCGAUUAGCUGGUUGGCGGGGUAACGGCCCACCAAGGCUGCGAUCGGUAGGGGUUCUGAGAGGAAGGCCCCCCGAAAGGGGACUGAGACACGGCCCAUACUCCUACGGGAGGCAGCAGUGAGGAAUAUUGGUCAAUGGGCGGAAGCCUGAACCAGCCAUGCCGCGUGCGGGAAGGAGGCCCUAUGGGCUGUGAACCGCUUUUGCCUGGGGGCAAUAAGGGCGUCGCGCACGUCCGAUGAGAGUACCAGGCGAAUAAGCAUCGGCUAACUCCGUG